This 497-nucleotide ribosomal RNA is filed under the name uncultured bacterium. RNAcentral describes it as "partial 16S ribosomal RNA". It matches the Rfam family "Bacterial small subunit ribosomal RNA", at positions 28 to 507 of the family's 1533-position model. The record is from RNAcentral.
GAUGAACGCUGGCGGCGUGCCUAAUACAUGCAAGUCGAGCGAACAGACGAGGAGCUUGCUCCUCGGACGUUAGCGGCGGACGGGUGAGUAACACGUGGAUAACCUACCUAUAAGACUGGGAUAACUACGGGAAACCGGAGCUUAUACCGGAUAAUAUAUUGCACCGCAGGGUGCAAUAGUGAAAUACGGUGUUUCGGGCACUAAUAGAUGGAUCCGCGCCGCAUUAGGUUGUUGUUAAGGUAACGGGUUACCAAGGGGAGUAUGCGUAGACGACCGCAGGGGGGGGUAGCCGGCCUUGGAACGUGACCAGCGACAAUACGCCUACGGGAGGCAGCAGACGGGAACGGUCCGCAAUGGGGGAGAGUCUGACAGAGCAGAGGGGAGCCAGAUACGGAGGCGCUCCGAUCGUAAAGCUCUGUUUUUGGUGGUGAACAGAUGUGUAAUUAACUGUGCACGUAUUGACGGUACCUGGUCAAAAAGCCCCGGCUAACUACGUG